UCUUAUUAAGAGUAGGCGGAGGGAAUUGGCCCGAUGAAACCUCAGCAACAGGCGUAAGUACUGUGCUAAAUCCAACAAGUAUCAACUUGAAAGAUAAGA
RNAcentral lists this non-coding RNA (99 nucleotides) under Mammaliicoccus lentus. RNAcentral's name for it is "SAM riboswitch (S box leader)". It matches the Rfam family "SAM riboswitch aptamer (S box leader)". From Rfam's summary of the family: The SAM riboswitch is found upstream of a number of genes which code for proteins involved in methionine or cysteine biosynthesis in Gram-positive bacteria. The record is from RNAcentral. Lineage: Bacteria; Bacillati; Bacillota; Bacilli; Caryophanales; Staphylococcaceae.